CAAUAGCGUAUAUUAAAGUUGUUGCAGUUAAAAAGCUCGUAGUUGGAUUUCUGGUGGGAGCGAUCGGUCUGGCGCUUAGCGCGAGUACUUGCAUCGUCUCCGGCCAUCCUUGGGGAGAGUCUGUCUGGCAUUAGGUUGUCGGGCAGAGGAUCCUCAUCGUUUACUGUGAAAAAAUUAGAGUGUUCAAGGCAGGCUUAUGCCGUUGAAUAUAUUAGCAUGGAAUAAUAAGAUAGGACUUUGGUACUAUUUUGUUGGUUUGCGCACCAAAGUAAUGAUUAAUAGGGACAGUUGGGGGUAUUCGUAUUCCGUCGUCAGAGGUGAAAUUCUUGGAUUUACGGAAGACGAACUACUGCGAAAGCAUUUACCAAGGAUGUUUUCAUUAA
This 383-nucleotide ribosomal RNA is filed under the name uncultured eukaryote. RNAcentral describes it as "partial 18S ribosomal RNA". It matches the Rfam family "Eukaryotic small subunit ribosomal RNA", at positions 592 to 976 of the family's 1831-position model. The record is from RNAcentral.